RNAcentral lists this long non-coding RNA (2436 nucleotides) under Gossypium raimondii (Peruvian cotton). Its description in RNAcentral is "long non-coding RNA (GRAI_LNC002458)". The record is from RNAcentral. Lineage: Eukaryota; Viridiplantae; Streptophyta; Magnoliopsida; Malvales; Malvaceae.
GCUAAAAUAGAAUGACAGGAAAACGUUGAAAAGAGACCUAGGGUGAGAGAGAAUCGCCGAAGAAAUGAGAAAUAAUGGAUUGGAUAGAUAUAUUUGAGGAUUUAAGUUUCGAAUGAUGGGAAGGAAGCUGGCCUGAUCGGAGGUAAGACGCUGGAAAGUGUUUGGAAGCAGCGGCAACGGUUUGUUAGAAAGGACAAUAAAGGAGGAAGAGAGAAAAAGAAAAUUAGUAGAAGAAAGGGGAAAAGGGGGAGAGAAGAAAGGGAGAACCGAACGUGAGAGAGAUGAAGGAAGAAAGAGUUUUUAUUAUUUAUUUUAAAAAUGGUUUGAAUUUUAUUUCAUUUUGUAAAAAAUAUCGUACUUUGGAAAAGUUAUAUUCAAUCUUUAUGGAUUGAAGAUACAAUCUUUUCUUAAAUAGUAUUUAGACCCAGAAAAAUUUAGGCCUGUUUUUCCAAGCUUUUGUUUCGCUUUGGGCCUAUUUCGUUUUGGAGUCGGUCUUUUUAGUCCUGAUAGUUCGUGUUUUUGAAUUUUAAUAAUAGCCCAGUAUUUUCCUUCAAAAAAAAACCUUAAACCAACACCGGGAUAUCCUUCGAAUGGGAUAUACCCGGCCGGGAUAUCCCUCUUUAGGAUAUCCCCCAGCGGGAUAUACACGGAAUGGGAUAUCCCUACGUGGAAUAAGUGUGACAGGUAGUCCGGUCCUGCAGCAUAAAAAAUCUGAACCGGACACUAAAAGAACUGAACCGGACAGGGGAAAUUCUGAAUCGGGAUGGGAUAUGAAGGGGAUAUCCCAAGAAUAGCUUAUUCCGAGACAGGAUAUGACAAGGAUAUUCGUGGAUUGGAAUAAGACAAUCUUUAAAUCCUGUAAGCUAACCCAAAACAGAAAAAUCAAAAGAAAAAAAAAUUUAUUCAGAACCAGCAUGCAUCGAGAAAUCAACUAAGACAAUAAAUGAACAAGAAAUUGGUUAUGACAUCAUUAGAGAAUAUAUCCAACACAUCUUUUUACCAGUCUCAUAAAACCAUCAACCAAUAAGCAAAUCAAAAUUAUGUUAAUCAGUCUCAUGGAACCUAUUUACUUAAAAGAUUACAACUCAAUUUCCCUUCAUGUAAGGCUAGGUAACACAGAUAAAUAUAAUUCUAUCUUUAACCAAAAUCAGAGCAUUUUCACCACAUGGAUAUAUCAAUAAUCACAUAAAACUUCCCAUUCAGCAGAUAGACAGAGACACCAUGGGUCUACCUAAAACUUCCAAUCAAAAUCCAUUUGCAAAUCAUACCCAACAGAACUCAAACAAUCCCAAUUAUUUUAAAGAAAAUAUACCCAACACUUACUGACUAAUGCAAGCACCCAGCAGUAUGAAAAAGAAAACAUAUAUGCAUACACGAAUCAUGACAAUCUCCACCGUAAAUAAUCAUGAAACCCAAAUCGACAAAAACCUUUGCAAUUAGCAAAUCGGUUGAAAUUCUCCAAUUCCUAUCAAUGUCAACAAGCAUCCCAAUUAGAUUAUUAUUAUUUUUUAAAAACUAAAGUACAGACUUUUUGAGAAAAACUAAGAAACAGAAUGUCACAACUCACAACGAAUUAAAAAGACAUUUUAUUACCAUCCAGAAAAACUACCAAAUAAACUCUACGUGCGUCACAACUCCCACCGGGUUCCUAGAACCAAAAUCAAGCCAACACAACUCCCACCGGGUUCCUAGAACCAAAAUCAAGCCAACACAGAUGCAGUAAACAAUUUACAUACGGAUGCUUUUUGUUUAGGCAAUUAGUAUUCUGCUAAGCAACGAUUUAAAAGAAAUAGAAAAUAACACAAAAGCUAUAAUAUUAAACGGAGGGGAACAAACAAUCCAAAAAUAAAGAACAACAUAUAGUAUACGAUAAACAAACAAAAAUGAAGAAUAAGACCGACAUUUAUAGAUCUGAAAGACGGAACGAAACAGAGAUUUCUAAAGCUGAAAACCAAAAAGCCUAAGAAAAACCCACUGAAAUACAAGUAAAAAAGCAUGGAGCUGAAACUAAAAAAGAAAUUGAUACCUGAAAUGAGUCUCCGUUUAAGCAGCGAAUUUCAAAAAUCACAAAAACCAGAAACGCCAGAGAAAACUUAGGGUUUCUCUCACGAAAACUCUCUUCCUACUAUAGCGUGUGUUUUUUUGGCCUGUGGAUACCCAAAGCUAAAAAAGAAUGACAGGAAAACGUUGAAAAGAGACCGAGAGUGAGAGAGAAUCACCGAAGAAAUGGGGAGCAAUGGAUUGGAUAGAUAUAUUUGAGGAUUUAAAUUUCGAAUGAUGGGAAGGAAGCUGGCCUGAUCGGAGGUAAGACGCUGGAAAGUGUGUGGAGGCAGUGGCAGCGGUUUGUUAGAAAGGACAAUAAAGAAGGAAAAGAGAAAAAGAAAAUUAGUAGAAAAAAGGGAAAAAGGGGAAGAGAACAAAGGGAGAACCGAAGGU